Molecule: ribosomal RNA, 1269 nt
Filed under: Bacillus sp. E3-16-2
Lineage: Bacteria; Bacillati; Bacillota; Bacilli; Caryophanales; Bacillaceae
Description: bacterial SSU rRNA
Rfam family: Bacterial small subunit ribosomal RNA
Source: RNAcentral
ACGUGAGUAACCUGCCCCUGACUCUGGGAUAAGCGUUGGAAACGACGUCUAAUACUGGAUAUGACUGCCGGCCGCAUGGUCUGGUGGUGGAAAGAUUUUUUGGUUGGGGAUGGACUCGCGGCCUAUCAGCUUGUUGGUGAGGUAAUGGCUCACCAAGGCGACGACGGGUAGCCGGCCUGAGAGGGUGACCGGCCACACUGGGACUGAGACACGGCCCAGACUCCUACGGGAGGCAGCAGUGGGGAAUAUUGCACAAUGGGCGAAAGCCUGAUGCAGCAACGCCGCGUGAGGGAUGACGGCCUUCGGGUUGUAAACCUCUUUUAGUAGGGAAGAAGCGAAAGUGACGGUACCUGCAGAAAAAGCACCGGCUAACUACGUGCCAGCAGCCGCGGUAAUACGUAGGGUGCAAGCGUUGUCCGGAAUUAUUGGGCGUAAAGAGCUCGUAGGCGGUUUGUCGCGUCUGCUGUGAAAUCCCGAGGCUCAACCUCGGGCUUGCAGUGGGUACGGGCAGACUAGAGUGCGGUAGGGGAGAUUGGAAUUCCUGGUGUAGCGGUGGAAUGCGCAGAUAUCAGGAGGAACACCGAUGGCGAAGGCAGAUCUCUGGGCCGUAACUGACGCUGAGGAGCGAAAGCGUGGGGAGCGAACAGGAUUAGAUACCCUGGUAGUCCACGCCGUAAACGUUGGGCGCUAGAUGUAGGGACCUUUCCACGGUUUCUGUGUCGUAGCUAACGCAUUAAGCGCCCCGCCUGGGGAGUACGGCCGCAAGGCUAAAACUCAAAGGAAUUGACGGGGGCCCGCACAAGCGGCGGAGCAUGCGGAUUAAUUCGAUGCAACGCGAAGAACCUUACCAAGGCUUGACAUACACCGGAAACGGCCAGAGAUGGUCGCCCCCUUGUGGUCGGUGUACAGGUGGUGCAUGGUUGUCGUCAGCUCGUGUCGUGAGAUGUUGGGUUAAGUCCCGCAACGAGCGCAACCCUCGUUCUAUGUUGCCAGCGCGUUAUGGCGGGGACUCAUAGGAGACUGCCGGGGUCAACUCGGAGGAAGGUGGGGAUGACGUCAAAUCAUCAUGCCCCUUAUGUCUUGGGCUUCACGCAUGCUACAAUGGCCGGUACAAAGGGCUGCGAUACCGUAAGGUGGAGCGAAUCCCAAAAAGCCGGUCUCAGUUCGGAUUGAGGUCUGCAACUCGACCUCAUGAAGUCGGAGUCGCUAGUAAUCGCAGAUCAGCAACGCUGCGGUGAAUACGUUCCCGGGCCUUGUACACACCGCCCG